UUUCCUCAAUGUACAAGUGUGUUUUAAAUCAAAUGUUAUACUAAUAGAAGUGUGUUAGUGUAUGCACAUGAUCUCAUGACUUUGUAUAGUGCACAUAAUGAUAUGGAUAACUACACCGAAUGAAGGGAUUUAUUGCAAAAUAUUGUUUUCGAUCCAUUCAUUGAUCUCCAUACAUGUCUGAGGAAUGAUGGCAACUACAUUGUUUGCCAUUGUAAAUACAACGGUAACGUUAUUGUGCCAGUCUGAGAUACACAAGCCACAUUGGAGGGGACCACCCCUCGAUGACUAUGGACUUCCUACUGUAUAUAACUACAAGGGAUCUGAUAUUAGAGCAGACUACCCAAAGUUACAUUUUGCCAGUAAUAACAGGGACCUUGUUAUAACUGGUGUUCAGGUUAUCGAUAGCGGAACGUAUACGUGUUCGAAUACAGGACAAAACCUUAUUGUCCGUGGAAUGAUGGCAACUACAUUGUUUGCCAUUGUAAAUACAACGGUAACGUUAUUGUGCCAGUCUGAGAUACACAAGCCACAUUGGAGGGGAC
This is a long non-coding RNA of Mya arenaria, 542 nucleotides long. RefSeq lists it as uncharacterized. NCBI's taxonomy places the organism in Eukaryota, Metazoa, Mollusca, Bivalvia, Myida, Myidae. The record is from RefSeq and is a predicted model, not a curated record. The transcript has 3 exons.